GCACCCGUAGCUCAGCUGGAUAGAGUACCCCGGCUACGAACCGGGCGGUCAGAGGUUCGAAUCCUCUCGGGUGCACCA
Molecule: transfer RNA, 78 nt
Filed under: Morganella morganii
Lineage: Bacteria; Pseudomonadati; Pseudomonadota; Gammaproteobacteria; Enterobacterales; Morganellaceae
Description: tRNA-Arg(acg)
Rfam family: tRNA
About the family: Transfer RNA (tRNA) molecules are approximately 80 nucleotides in length. Their secondary structure includes four short double-helical elements and three loops (D, anti-codon, and T loops).
Source: RNAcentral